GUUGUAUGGUUAAGUGACUAAGCGUACACGGUGGAUGCCUUGGCAGUCAGAGGCGAUGAAGGACGUGCUACCCUGCGAAAAGGGUUGGUGAGCUGGGAUGGAGCGCUAUAGCCAACCAUGUCCGAAUGGGGAAACCCACCUAAGAUAACUUAGGUAUCGUUAAGUGAAUACAUAGCUUAACGAGGCGAACCGGGAGAACUGAAACAUCUAAGUACCCCGAGGAAAAGAAAUCAACCGAGAUUCCGUUAGUAGCGGCGAGCGAACGCGGAGCAGCCCAGAGUCUGAAUCAGUGGAUGCGUUAGUGGAACGGAUUGGAAAGUCCGGCGAUACAGGGUGAUAGCCCCGUACACGAAGACGCAUUGCUGUGAGCUCGAUGAGUAGGACGGGACACGUGGUAUCCUGUUUGAAGAUGGGGGGACCAUCCUCCAAGGCUAAAUACUCCUGACUGACCGAUAGCGAACCAGUACCGUGAGGGAAAGGCGAAAAGAACCCCUGUGAGGGGAGUGAAAUAGAACCUGAAACCGUGUACGUACAAGCAGUGGGAGCACCUUCGUGGUGUGACUGCGUACCUUUUGUAUAAUGGGUCAGCGACUUACAUUUUGUAGCGAGGUUAACCGAAUAGGGGAGCCGUAGGGAAACCGAGUCUUAAUAGGGCGAAUUAGUUGCAAGGUGUAGACCCGAAACCCGGUGAUCUAGCCAUGGGCAGGUUGAAGGUUGGGUAACACUAACUGGAGGACCGAACCGACUAAUGUUGAAAAAUUAGCGGAUGACUUGUGGCUGGGGGUGAAAGGCCAAUCAAACCGGGAGAUAGCUGGUUCUCCCCGAAAGCUAUUUAGGUAGCGCCUCGGACGAACACCUACGGGGGUAGAGCACUGUUAAGGCUAGGGGGUCAUCCCGACUUACCAACCCUUUGCAAACUCCGAAUACCGUAGAGUGCUAUCCGGGAGACACACGGCGGGUGCUAACGUCCGUCGUGAAGAGGGAAACAACCCAGACCGCCAGCUAAGGUCCCAAAGUCAUGGUUAAGUGGGAAACGAUGUGGGAAGGCUUAGACAGCUAGGAUGUUGGCUUAGAAGCAGCCAUCAUUUAAAGAAAGCGUAAUAGCUCACUAGUCGAGUCGGCCUGCGCGGAAGAUGUAACGGGGCUAAACCAUGCACCGAAGCUGCGGCAAUGAC
This 1175-nucleotide ribosomal RNA is filed under the name Plesiomonas shigelloides. Its description in RNAcentral is "bacterial LSU rRNA". It matches the Rfam family "Bacterial large subunit ribosomal RNA", at positions 1 to 1212 of the family's 2925-position model. Lineage: Bacteria; Pseudomonadati; Pseudomonadota; Gammaproteobacteria; Enterobacterales; Enterobacteriaceae. The record is from RNAcentral.